Molecule: RNA transcript, 3466 nt
Organism: Anoplopoma fimbria (sablefish)
Lineage: Eukaryota; Metazoa; Chordata; Actinopteri; Perciformes; Anoplopomatidae
Exons: 13
Source: RefSeq, a predicted model, not a curated record
UUCACUCAAUGACACCAUCAUGGGAUGCUCUGGGCUGUUUAUUUUGGGUUUGGUCCUAAAUGUUGCUCACUGCUUGGAAAUCCUGGAUCCGGCUGGAGAGACGGUUAUUGAUUUCACUCCCAACAUCACAGCAUUCCUGGGAGAGGACGUCUACCUGAGCUGUAGAUAUCAGGGCGAGGACAAAAUCGAGAGCGCCGAGUGGAAACGCCAGAUCAACAACAAAAUGAAAUCCAAGCGACUGGCCGGGUUUGUAAAUGGCAAAGCCUUUAGCCGCGAUAACAUCUCACAGCCUGAGUCUCUCUCCAACCUCACAGUUAGGAUGAAGGUGUCCAGUGUGGAAGCAGAGGGAGAAUACAUCUGUGAGUUUAGAACAGAGGAUGAACAGUAUCUUGGAAGCCUAUAUCUCACUGUUGUAGCUCGGCCUGAUGUACAGAUGCUGGUGAAUGCAGAGACCAUAAACGGCUCUCACUACCAGUCGGUUUCAUGCUCUGCGGUCGGUGGUAGGCCUAGGCCUCAGAUCAGCUGGUUGGUCGCAGGCCGUCCUCCUUCAUAUGACACUUUUGCUGUGGACGUGAGUGAAACCGUUCACUCAAACGGCACCUCCACCCUGAGCAGCAUCCUCCGGUUCCCCACCCACCUGCAGGACGAGGAAAGCGUGACUUGUGUGGUUGUACACCCAACCUUCCCAGACCCCAAACUCACCACAGUCAGGGUGGAAACUUACACGAGGCCAAAUGUGAGCAUUAAAGCAGAGAUGGUACAACGCGGAGGAAGUGAGUUCUGGGUGGUCUCGUGCAUUUCAUCCGGAGGGAGACCUGACACUGACAUCGCCUUGGCUUUGAACAGCAACGAAGAGCUGCAGAGAGAGGACAACACAGACUCAGACAUGCAGACAAGCUCAGUCGUCCUCAGUGCAACAGUUUAUGAGGGGCACAAUGUCACCUGUGUGUUUGAUCACCCCAAAUUUACACAUCAAGUGUCACGAGUCAUAACACUGCCGUCUCUUUAUUUUUCUGAAGUUCAGUUGUUACUGUACUCGGAGCUUGGAAGCAACAGUGAUCACCUCCAAGGCACUGAAACCUUAGAGGUGCAGGAAGGAGAGAGAGACACCGUCAUCAGCCUACAGGUGACUGGAAAUGUGCCACAUUACAACGUCACCUGCAAAAAAGAUGACGGGCCCUUGCCUGACGGUGUGGAGCUGGUUGGCAGCAGCCUCUCAGUUCAGGGUCCAGCGGAGAACCAUCAUGCCGGACUGUAUGAAUGCUUCUUCUCCUAUCACCAUCUUAAUGCGACGCUGAAGUUUAAUGUCACGGUUAAACCUAAAGUUAUACAGCCUGUUCCACCAACAAUUCGAGUCGAUUUGCAGACCGAAGAUGGACACGGGGUGAUUGAGUGCUCAGCAGCUGAUGCUGUUCCUGCAGCCAACAUGUCCUGGCUUCUACCAGAGGGUGUGUCUGGAGUCUCUUGGUUCAAUUUCACUUCUCAUAAUGGAAGCCACUCUGUCAGGGGAGUUUUACUCCUCCCAGCCUGCUCGCCUUGGGAGCUCACUGCAGAGUGUGUGAUAAAUCACCCUGCGUUUGAGGAGCCAGAGAACAGAAGCAUUACCCUCCCUCUUUGCGUUUUUUCAUCUUCUCUUUCCCACGCAGCUCGCCCUAAAAUCACCAUCAACUCCAGCACUGAGUGGAGAGACGGUCACGAGUUCACAAAGGUGGACUGCUCUGUGGACAGCGUUGCCCCUGCAGCAACCAUAAGCUGGCAUGUUGGAAACGGUGACAGCAGCAUCAGUUAUCUGUCUGAGACUGAAGUCCAGGCCGAUGGUUUGGUAUCGGUCCGGAGCUCUGCGCAUGUCCUGUCAUCUCUGUAUUCUGGUCAGAAUUUGACCUGCACAGUGGAGCAUCCAAGCCUGGAGGCACCAGAGAAAAGGACAAUACACAUUCUUGUGCACAAAGCCCCUCUCCUGAGUGUGUCUCUGGUGAGGCAGCAGGAUUCUCUUCUCUGGCUGGCAGUGUGUGACUGCAGAGAGAAGGGGGUCGGGACUAACCUCGCCUGGGUCCUUCCCGAAAAUGCCAAAGGCCAAACAUCCCUGCACUCAGAGUACGAGGGGCGCGUCAUUAAAGCCAGGCUGACUUACCAGUUUCCUCUGGCCCUUCAUGAGGGACAGGACCUGACCUGUGUGUAUCGUUUUGACCAUGGAGCCACAGAUCAAAAGACCAUUCAUGUCCCCAGAUACCAUAUAUCCUCUGUGAGAGUCUUAAACCACACGACUCCUCUGCAAAGCCGCUACGGUGGUGAAACCAUCACACACAGACUAGCUCUCCAAGAAUAUCAGCACAACCAGAGAGUACUGCUCCGAGUCGAAGGCAACGUGCCAGAGUACAACCUCAUCUGUAAAAGGAGUGAUGGCUCAUUUGUCCAAAUGGACGGAGAUGCAAUGGUCUUCCAAUCAGAACUCACAGAGCAGGAUGAAGGCCUGUACAGCUGCCGGGCGUCCUUCUAUCACCACACAGCCACAGUCAACAUUCAAGUGGAGGUCACGAGUGAGAACAAGCUGUUCGCACUUGUUGCCAUUAUCUGCAUUUCUUCGGCGUUGGUCAUCCUACUCAUCCUCAUCAUCAUCCUCUGGGUUUGCUGGUGAGUUAAAUGCCUGCACAUGUAACCUUGGUUGCAACUCUACAGGUGAUGUGUUGACGGGCAUGUGAGGGCAACGCUGGCAGUGUAAUAUGAUACGAGACAAACAGGAUGCGUGGAUUGUUAACCCAACUCACCAAAAACCUCAGUAUCAUGCUGAUAUUCAUAAACAGGAAGCAGUGUUGUCAGAAGCAGACAGGUGCCUCUGCCACCGCAGCCCUGUUUGCAGACAGGUAGAACAUGGGAAAUAAACAGAUUUAUCGUCCAGUUUCCUGCUCUGGCUUUUAGCAGUGUUACUUCUGGCACUCUCUGCAGUAGACUGCUGUUCGUUGGCCUAUUAUCAUCAAUGCCACAUUGCAAAAGCGAAGGUAAAAGGUUCAAAGUCCACGAUUUCUAAAGUUAUUAGGGUAAUGAAAUUCGUGCUGCCAUUCACCAUGAGAAAAAAAUCCACAAAUCCAUCUCUUAAUCUUACUGCAGUUGGAAAAAAUUAGCGAGCCACUUGUCAUUUACGACUGAUGUGGGAUAUCUGUCACAAUCCUAGAACUGUUUAAUGGCUUCUGCCUGCAGAACUUUCCACAUUUUUCACAUUCACUGCCACAUCUAACUUCUCUCAAGAAUGUUUGUCUGGAUCGGAUCAGGCCUCGCUGUGACUAAAGCUGCACCGCGCAGCACAACAGCAGUUCAGAAGCAGUAUCAAUAGGCCCGGCUCUCUGGUCAGAACAUUUGGUCAAGGUGCCAUUGGUUGACAGAGCCUCAGUCCCAUUAUCCCCGGCUCCAGUGGGAGGUUCCCGUCAGGCUAAUUUGGGAAGCAAAGGAAAUAGCAAGGCACAAUAUAAGG